Molecule: ribosomal RNA, 301 nt
Filed under: uncultured bacterium
Lineage: Bacteria
Description: partial 16S ribosomal RNA
Rfam family: Bacterial small subunit ribosomal RNA
Source: RNAcentral
CAGUCGCCACGGUAAUACGUAGGUGGCAAGCGUUGUCCGGAAUUAUUGGGCGUAAAGGGCUCGCAGGCGGUUUCUUAAGUCUGAUGUGAAAGCCCCCGGCUCAACCGGGGAGGGUCAUUGGAAACUGGGAAGCUUGAGUGCAGAAGAGGAGAGUGGAAUUCCACGUGUAGCGGUGAAAUGCGUAGAGAUGUGGAGGAACACCAGUGGAGAAGGCGACUCUCUGGUCUGUAACUGACGCUGAGGAGCGAAAGCGUAGGGAGCGAACAGGAUUAGAUACCCGAGUAGUCCCUGUCUCUUAUAA